RNAcentral lists this ribosomal RNA (463 nucleotides) under uncultured bacterium. RNAcentral describes it as "partial 16S ribosomal RNA". It matches the Rfam family "Bacterial small subunit ribosomal RNA", at positions 28 to 507 of the family's 1533-position model. The record is from RNAcentral.
GAUGAACGCUGACAGAAUGCUUAACACAUGCAAGUCUUUGGCGAAUCUGUGCUUGCACAGGCUAGCCAAGGCGGACGGGUGAGUAACGCGUAAAGAACUUGCCCUGCAGACAGGGAUAACAGACGGAAACGACUGAUAACACCUGAUACAGUUGCCGGCACGCAUGUGCCUGGCAAUGAAAAGAGAUGCUGCAGGAGAGCUUUGCGUCCUAUUAGCUUGUUGGUGAGGUGACGGCUCACCAAGGCGAUGAUAGGUAGCCGGCCUGAGAGGGUGAACGGCCACAAGGGGACUGAGAGACGGCCCUUACUCCUACGGGAGGCAGCAGUGGGGAAUAUUGGACAAUGGGGGCAACCCUGAUCCAGCAAUUCUGUGUGCACGAAGAAGGUUUUCGGAUUGUAAAGUGCUUUCAGCAGGGAAGAAGAAAGUGACGGUACCUGCAGAAGAAGCGACGGCUAAAUACGUG